Long non-coding RNA from Corythoichthys intestinalis (scribbled pipefish), 1368 nucleotides. RefSeq lists it as uncharacterized. Lineage: Eukaryota; Metazoa; Chordata; Actinopteri; Syngnathiformes; Syngnathidae. The record is from RefSeq and is a predicted model, not a curated record. The transcript is spliced from 3 exons.
UCAAAGGAAAGGUCAGGCAGCACAGGGUGGUGAUAAUACAAUCUAGGAGGUUGACGAGCAGACGGAGAGUCUGUACUAGGUAAACGAGUCUCCAAAUGCCCAUCGUUUGAGUCUGCGUCCCGAAAAGCUGUCCCGUCUGGUUUACGGCAAACGAUCUGAAAAGUGAAGAGCAGGACAGCACUGUCGGUCGUUCACAAGACGAGCUUCAGGGAAAAAUGUGUGCAGCAAAUACCUGAUAAGACAAAAGUUGGGCAAAACUGGUUAUGCAAGAGUCCUGUUGGGAGCGAGAGUGUAUGCUGUCCGGUUUUAUUAGCAGAUAUUCAAGAUGGCGUGGACCCUCCAGGUCUUGGCAAACAUGGCGCCGAAUGCUGUCGUGUAGCCGACGAUGAGGAUCCACGUCCGGACCUUUGCAAAAGGCGAGACGAGAGACACGUGAAUGAAGGCCAUGAGAAAAAUAACGCUGAGGAAUAUCAAACUUUGACACCCCAAGUUAGAGGCCUGUUGUGUAAAAUAAUAUUUGCUCUCAUUAAAAAAUGCCAAUAAGAAAUAGAUGGUUACUGUGGCACUUUAAUAAAGGGAAUAGUAUCGUAUUUACAGUUUGUAUUAUUCUAACACACCCAGUAUAAAAUAAAUAGCAUUUAUAUCAUGGUUUAAGAAAAAAAAGCAGAAUAUAUUUGACAUAGGGCAUAAGAGAUACAUGACGCCUUCUUAUCACGGAAGCCCAACGCGUGCGUCAAGUUUGACGCUGACGAGGCAAGACAUCUACAAGUUCCGGACAGUCCAGAAAAGAUGGCGGGACAUCUUGUCUUGACAAGGAACAUCCUACUCGGAGCAACCCACGACCAAGAAGUGAACUCUCAGCACUCACAUUGCGCUGAGGUGGCAAAAUCCACAACUCUCUUUGCCCUGACAACAGUAAUUCCCAAAUCCUCCUGUCCAAUCCACAAACAGACAAUAAUCCUAAACAAUGCCCAAACACACCCUUCUUCUGCCCACAGCCCGCCCCGCGAGAGCCUUCAAAAGGACAAUGUUCAACUAAUCGCUGUCAUUUUUUUCUCUGGAACCUUUUGUUGACUUGUGAUAUGGUGACCUUGCAUCCUUGCCCGGGUUCCUCUGUGCUGUAUGAUUGCUGUCGACUCAGAAUAAAUUGUCAAUGUGUGUUUUGAAGCCUUUUUCCAGCUUUCAAAAUGGAGUCAGUACAAAGAAGUGGUCUCCAAACUAUUCCACAUAGGGCCGCAGUGGGUGCAGGAUUUCACUCAGACAAAACAACACCAAUCUGGUGCUUUGUUUAAGUUUAAUCAGUUGAUUGCUGUCAGGUGCUGCUUGUUUUAGUAGAAACCUCAUUGGUUAAAAGGUCUGUGCUUUAUC